Orcinus orca (killer whale) is the source of this 299-nucleotide long non-coding RNA. RefSeq lists it as uncharacterized. The record is from RefSeq and is a predicted model, not a curated record. NCBI's taxonomy places the organism in Eukaryota, Metazoa, Chordata, Mammalia, Artiodactyla, Delphinidae. The transcript has 3 exons.
CCCAGGGAACGAUUUGGGCGCGUCUCGGACGGCCAGUACCUGAGGCGCCUGCGUCCGAGCGGCCAGAGCCUUAGUCAGGCUCCUUCGGAGGGCAAGCAUGGCACGGCUUCGAGCGCUGAGAAGGGCAGCGGCCGGUCAGCCUCAUCAAAUCUGAAGAAGGAAGUGGGAGAGAUGGAUCCAACGCUGGCCCAGCUGCAUAGGAGGGCAGUAGCUCUACGUGUAAACUCCAGAUGCUUGUACUUUGGUGACAUCACUGGCUGGAGGACUGAGAUCAGAGAUUCCCUUCAUUUUAUUCCCUG